RNAcentral lists this ribosomal RNA (459 nucleotides) under uncultured bacterium. RNAcentral's name for it is "partial 16S ribosomal RNA". It matches the Rfam family "Bacterial small subunit ribosomal RNA", at positions 338 to 795 of the family's 1533-position model. The record is from RNAcentral.
UCUACGGGUGGCAGCAGUGAGGAAUAUUGGUCAAUGGCCGAGAGGCUGAACCAGCCAAGUCGCGUGAGGGAAGACGGCCCUACGGGUUGUAAACCUCUUUUGUCGGGGAGCAAAGCGAGGCACGUGUGACGCAUUGAGAGUAACCGAAGAAAAAGCAUAGGCUAACUCCGUGCCAGCAGCCGCGGUAAUACGGAGGAUGCGAGCGUUAGCCGGUUUUAUUGGGUUUAAAGGGUGCGCAGGCGGAGGUGCAAGUCAGCGGUAAAAUUGAGGGGCUCAACCCCGUACUGCCGUUGAAACCGCAUCCCUUGAGUGCGCGAGAGGAAUGCGGAAUGCUAGGUGUAGCGGUGAAAUGCAUAGAUAUCACGAAGAACUCCGAUUGCGAAGGCAGCAUACCGGCCCGCAACUGACGCUCAUGCACGAAAGCGUGGGUAUCGAACAGGAUUAGAUACCCUUGUAGUC